This 408-nucleotide ribosomal RNA is filed under the name uncultured bacterium. RNAcentral describes it as "partial 16S ribosomal RNA". It matches the Rfam family "Bacterial small subunit ribosomal RNA", at positions 28 to 526 of the family's 1533-position model. The record is from RNAcentral.
GACGAACGCUGGCGGCGUGCUUAACACAUGCAAGUCGAACGAAGUGGCGAACGGGUGAGUAACGCGUAAUCAACCUGCCCUUCAGAGGGGGACAACAGUUGGAAACGACUGCUAAUACCGCAUACUGAAGGAGGGGAUUGCGUCGGAUUAGCUAGUUGGCGGGGUAACGGCCUACCGAGGCUAUGACGCGUAACUUGUCUGAGAGGAUGAGCAGUCACAUUCGAACUGAGGCACGGUCCAAACUCCUGCGGGAGGCGGCAGUAGGGAAUAUUGCGCAAGGGGGGAGACCCUGACGCAGCAACGGCGCGUGGAGGAUGACACUUUUCGGAGCGUAAACUCCUUUUGUUAGGGAAGCGGUACCUAACGAAUAAGCACCGGCUAACUCCGUGCCAGCAGCCGCGGUAAUAC